UUGGAGGAGGGUGGGUGGUGUGCUUGGCUGGCUGAGAGAGCGAUGGGACCCUGUAUAGAGCAGUGGUGGCAGGGGCUAGGAGGAAUGCUGGUACUCAACUGGGACAAGGCACCGAGGACCCUAAUGGAUACUGGGAGUCUUCAAGAAGGGUGAAGACUGGAGGGUUCUCCUUUGAAGGUGAGUACAAGGAUCCACCCACGGCCCUCGGUAGCCUGACCCAAAGUUGGGUAAAUAUAAUUAAGAUACAACAUCCACAGUUCUUGCACUCUUAAGAGAAGAUCCUCUGCUCAUCAGAAGAUUGGCUCAGAAGGAGGCAAAGUUUUGUUACCUUUCUGGUGCUCCAAUUGUGGGGUCAUCGCCCACAUGCAGUCACAAAGAUCUCAAAUGGAAAAGGAAGUUGGGAAAAUUCACCAGAGAGAAAAUUAACUGAGCUAAAACUAACUUGGAUCUAAGCAAGUGAAAGGGAUGGAGAACAACAAAGAUCAAGCAUCAGAGCUUAAUUAUUUAAAUAUGAGGACAAAUUUUUAUUUUUGUUUUUACGUAAGUAAAUAGGGGCCUGUAAAGAAACUGCAGGGCAACAGUGAUUUUAUCAUACAGUGGGAGUCAAUAAGAACUAACAAUCAUCACCUCAGGUACUUGCAGUAAUUCUGAUAUAUUUCUAUACUUGCACAAAUAGGACCAAGGUUUCAGUUCAGCAAAGCAUUAAAGCAUGUGCUUCAGUCCAUCCCUAUUCAGCAAGGCAAUUAAGCCUGUGCUUAACUUUAUGUACGUGCUUUGGGACAUAAGCAUGGGCUUAAACGUUUUGCUGAUUAGGGAUGACUUGCUUGACUGGAAUUCAAAUUCUGAAGUCCUCAUCCACACAAAACUCCUUGAAACUUUCUUGAGUACAGGCUUCAGAGUUGGACCCUCACAGUCCAAUAGCAAAUACUGUAUUUUGAGUGGUGCCUACUGAUAUGCUCAGUGGUGGAUGCUCACUUUGACAAAAC
Molecule: long non-coding RNA, 986 nt
Organism: Chelonia mydas (Green sea turtle)
Lineage: Eukaryota; Metazoa; Chordata; Testudines; Cheloniidae
Exons: 4
Source: RefSeq, a predicted model, not a curated record